UGCCCUUGAUGUCAACUAUAAAUCUGACU
RNAcentral lists this non-coding RNA (29 nucleotides) under Rattus norvegicus (Norway rat). Lineage: Eukaryota; Metazoa; Chordata; Mammalia; Rodentia; Muridae. The record is from RNAcentral.